RNAcentral lists this ribosomal RNA (535 nucleotides) under Auricularia auricula-judae (jelly ear fungus). RNAcentral describes it as "eukaryotic LSU rRNA". The stretch from base 135 to 288 matches the Rfam family "5.8S ribosomal RNA". Lineage: Eukaryota; Fungi; Basidiomycota; Agaricomycetes; Auriculariales; Auriculariaceae. The record is from RNAcentral.
UUCGACUGUGCGCUUCACGCAGCACGUCGGAAUCGAACUCACACCUGUGCACCAUUUCGGUUGCGGCUUCACGGCCGCCGCCGCUUUACAUGCAACAACGUCAGUCUCGAAUGUCGAAAACUAUAUAAAGUAACAACUUUCAACAACGGAUCUCUUGGCUCUCGCAUCGAUGAAGAACGCAGCGAAAUGCGAUAAGUAAUGUGAAUUGCAGAAUUCAGUGAAUCAUCGAAUCUUUGAACGCAUCUUGCGCUCCUUGGUAUUCCAUGGAGCAUGCCUGUUUGAGUGUCACGUAAACCUUCACCCUUGCGAUGUAACAGUCGCCUGCGGUGGUGUUGGACUGUGCCGGUAAUCGGCUCGUCUUGAAAUGCAUUAGCUGGUGCUUUUAGAGCGCUAGGCGACGGUGUGAUAAUUAUCUGCGCCACUGCCUUAGGCCUCUUCAGCGGCGCUGCUUAUAGCCCGUCCCUCUGUGGACAACUACAUUUAAAGCUUUGGCCUCAAAUCAGGUAGGACUACCCGCUGAACUUAAGCAUAUCAA